RNAcentral lists this long non-coding RNA (4771 nucleotides) under Sus scrofa (pig). Its description in RNAcentral is "lncRNA (ENSSSCG00005041005.1)". Lineage: Eukaryota; Metazoa; Chordata; Mammalia; Artiodactyla; Suidae. The record is from RNAcentral.
GACCCACCAGGUGGAGGAGAUGUUGCCCCGGGUGCGGGGGCCGGGGUGGGGGGAAGGCGGGGAGGAGGCUCCAAGGAAACUGCCCUCCACAGAGAGUCUGUCCGCAAAUUGUCUCAUGUAGCCAGAACAGCCAGGAGCAAGGUAGGGGGAGCAGAGUUUGGUCUGAGGAGAGCCAGUGUAUUGUAAACAGGAUAAAAGGGCCUGGAAAGCCCCACUUAUCACUGACUAAUGUGUCCCCAGGUCAUCGGGGAGCUGGACCCCCACCAGUAGCCCUGAGUGAAAAAGAAUUCCCCAUUAACCCCAUCACCUGGGAGUGGAGCCAGGGCAAAGGUCUGGCUUUUCCUCUUGCUAAGUGAGUCCCAUCAUCCUUAAGCCUUCGUGGGGCUCAACACAGUUUCUAGGGAGCUCUCAGCCAGAUGGGAGAGAUGUCUUCUGGGGUCCCCUGGAGCAGGGCCUGCGUGUGGGCAUGCUUGGAAGGAGAGGGGGUUUGGAAGAAGGCAGAGGUAGCGGGAGGCCGGAGGCAGUUGCAGGAGCAGCUUACUCUCCUGCUUAAUCACGGAGGUGGGGAGGCUUGAGGGUCAGCACAUGGAGCAGUGGCAUGGCUAAAUUUAUUUACUCUAGCUGAUUUACAGUGUUCCGUCAUUUUCUGCUGUGCAGCAAAGUGACCCAGUCAUACAUACAUAUACGUUCUUUUUUCCACAUUAUCCUCCAUCAUGUUCCAUCACGAGUGGCUUUAUUUAGACUUGAGGGGCUGACUGAGGUCUCUGUGACUCUGGACUCUCAUGAUCUCAUUCAUUGUCUACAAACGCCGUAUGUGCAAGUAUCUUAGAGCUGAGAAACCAAAGGUUAAGUCAAGUCUCCAAAGUGAAUGGUGGAUAAGUGGCCCACUGAGAACCAAACUCAGGCCUGGCUGAUCCCAGCCUGGGCAGGUUAAGUCAGUUGGACCAGGUGUCCCACAUGGCUGUUUAAGUGUGAAGACUUCCAAGGGAUGCUUGGAUGAAAUGAGUUCAACUUUUCUCUGUAUAUACUUCACCCUUCCAGGGAGCCUUCCGUGAUCAUCUCUGUCAUCUUUGGGCCCCCGUUUUCUUGGACCCCUGAGCAUGGACUAGUAGCAAGAGUUCAGAGUUUGAAACAGAGAGUCUGCAUGUGAUUUUUCCAACUUGUGCCCUUUUGCCAAAUCAAUUCUUCUGAGCCUCAGUUUCUUUAUCUGUUAUAUGGGGACCCUAAUAUCCACUCUCUGUAUUUCACCAUUUUGUAGGAGGAUUAAAUAAGAAGGGCUUUAAUAUCCACUCUCUGUAUUUCACCAUUUUGUAGGAGGAUUAAAUAAGAAGGGCUUUGCCCAUGAUUUGAGGGUUAAUUAUAUUCACAGUGAUUGUCGUGGGACCUCCUGAGUGAAUUUCUUGACUCCAGUGUUCGCCCCCUCGCCCUCCUGCCUCUCAGGGAUAUUGCCUUCAGGUUCACCUGCCUAAAACCUCACCUGAUGCAUGCCUCCUGCUCAGAACCAUCCGCGACUCCCUGCUACUGCUUCCUUGGCCAGGAACUCACCUUUCCAGGACUGGCUCACCUACCACUCCCAAACCGGGGGCCUCUGCUCCUCUGCCCAACCAUGGGUUUGAGUCACGGUUCCUACUUGGGAUGUCCAAACACACUGUAUGUUCUCCUACCUGUAGGCCUGUGCUGGCUCCUCGGAGAGAUCUGUCCCCUCUUCCAAGGAGGUGGCUCUGAUCCCAGCCCCUCCUCCAGCUGGCUUCCUGAUGACCUGUCCUGUUGCACCUCUCUGCCCUUCUGUCCUUGUCAUUCUCUGUGCCUUGGCAUUCACCUCCGGGGAGUGAUGCCUUUCCAUGGAUGAUCAGUCUCCACAUUAGACCAUAAGCUUCUUGAGGACCAGGACCUGCUUAUGUCUUUCAGUGAACCUCCUCAACUAAUGUAGGCUAGAGGGGCAGUGGCUUAACGGCAUGUCCUCAGGAAUCCAUCAAUCUACAGGGCAGGAGAGAGUGGCUUACCCUGCCCCGUGAGCCGCUUGAGCAGAGCUACUUUGAGUCUCUGGCCUACUGGAGGGCUCAGUGUACAUCCAUGCAUUGGCUCAAGCCUCGGCAGGCCAGUGUGGAGGGGGCGAUUGUUUUUAACAGGUGGCAGGCAACUCUGUGGGUCCUGGCAAAGAGUACCAACGUAGAAGCCCUCUAUUCUGCAGCUCCAUAGACCUUGCCCGGAGCAUACAGGAGCCUCUGUGACAUCUCCUUUCAUAUCCACCAUUCAGUGAGUCCUCAGGCUUUCACAUGUGUGGUGGGAGGCAGGAGUAGGAGGGAGUUUUCCUUCCAUGCCCUUGAUAACCAAUGAACUGAUGACCAUUCGGCCUGCUCAUCUUCCUAGAGAGAAGCUGAGGGUCCAAAGAGGGGUGCGUCCUGCCCACAUCAGGCAGCGUUCAAAGCCCAGCUGGGGUUGGAACCUGCAUGUCCCGACUCCAGUCCAGUGCCCAGCUGUGUACCUCAUACUCUCCUUGGGUGACACACAGAUCAAGGUCCUGCAGACAGGGAUUCUGGAAGGGGCCUGGGACCCAGCCCCCCAUGAAAAUUGCCUUUAACCUGCCAGGAGAUGGAGUAGGCCCACCCAGACCGAAAAGUUUCCAAGAAGAAAUCUCUAAGCCCCCCUCCAAAGCCCUGAAACCUGGCACACCUCAGUGCAUCAUGUUUUUUUCUCCUCAUGAGAUAAAGAUGCUGUCACCAGAGCCCAAACCACAUGGUCUGGGGCGUCCCUGUCCAACAUGCUAUCUGCUAACCACAUGUGGCUAUUGAGUACUGGAAGGGUGGCUUGUGCGAAUUGGCUUUUGCUGUAAGUGUAAGAUACCCACUGGCUUUCAAAAACUUAGCACAGCAAAAUGCAAAAUACUUUUUUGUUUUUGUUUUUUUUUUUGUCUUUUUUUUUGUUUUUUUUUUUACCUUUUCUAGGGCUGCUCCCAUGGCAUAUGGAGGUUCCCAGGCUAGGGGUCUAAUCAGAGCUGUAGCCACCGGUUUACACCAGAGACACCGCAAUGAGGGAUCCGAGCCGCGUCUGCGACCUACAGCACAGCUCACGGCAACGCCAGAUUGUUAACCCACUGAGCAAGGCCAGGGAUCGAACCCGCAACCUCAUGGUUCCCAGUCAGAUUCGUUAACCACUGAGCCACGACGGGAACUCCAAAACGAUAAAGUUUUAGAUGUGUGAAUUGACUUUUGCUGUAAGAUACCCACUGGCUUUCAAAAACUUAGCACAGCAAAAUACAAAAUAUGUCAAUACUUUUUUACAUUGAUUCAUGUUGAAACGGUAAGGUUUUAGACGUCUUGGGUUAAGUAAAAUAUAUUAUUAAAAAUGAGGAGUUCUCUUGUAGCACAGCAGGUUAAGGACCCGGGCAGGAGCCACAUCUCCACAGAGGUCCAUGGCUGAACUCAGCACAGUUCAGAUGAACCCCGCAUCCCACGGGCAAAAGCCCCAUUCAACAACCACCACGCUGACCCCAAAUAAGCCGGAUCAAGCCAGGGAUCCUCAGUAGCCAAGGCUUUCUCACCCUGCUUUCAGGGUCUCCAGGAGACAAGCUGCAUUCACAGCGAUAAUGUUGCAGCUUUGAAAGGGAAGCGCCCCAAACCCCCUGGGCCUGGGGGCUAGAGGAGCCCUCUGAGGAGAGGGCCAGACGGCAGGCAUCCCUCAGAGGCCUCCGUCCCGCUGCAGGCCAUGGGGCCAACGUGUCCCAACACCGACAGCUUCCUUGCACAAGCCAGACCUCACAGAGUGAGGGGCGCGCCGGGAGGGUCGGGAGCUCAUCCAUCAAGAACCAUCAAACAGCAGGGCCACAGGCCUGCCUGAACGCUUGGCUCUUUCAAGGGGCCUUCUGCACCCCCACCCCCACCCUCCAAACCUUGGCCUCCUGGAAUCAAAGCUGGAUUGCACAGAGAUCUCCAAAGCUUUGUUUACACCAAGAGCUGGGGCUGGGCAGUGGGAAGGGUCCCUGAAAUGAAAGCAGAGGAUCUUCAGUCCUCCCCACCCCACCUGACACCUGCACCUGGCUCGGUCUCCUGAAGCACCAGGGGUCAGCCGGCCUCAGGUGCCCUGAGUGUCACAGCCAGGUCCUCCCUGCCAGGUGGGACAAGAGCCUGGACUUCCCUUCUCCCCUUCUCACCCAAGGGAGCCCCAGCUGGGGGUCUGCUGUCCUGACUACAGCAGGGCCAAGAAGAACCCCAAGCCUUGGGCAUCAUUGCUCAUGGAGGCAUCAGAAAGGCCUGUGUUCGAAUCCUAGCUUAGCCCCAUUUCCUUAAUUGCCCUGCACCUCCUGCAUUCUUGGUAGAGUGGAAAGCCUAUCAGAGAGAUGUGGGUUGGGCCAGUGGCUAGCUGUGCAUCCUGGGAGAAGUCACUUGACUACUCUGAUCUUUAUCUUCCUUAUGAUUUUUUUAUAAGGAUUCAAUGAAAUCCGGGAUUUGAAAACACCUGGCGCAAUACAUAGUGGAUGCUGCCAUUAGAUGGAAUUCAUCCUUCUUCCUCAUGCCCUCCCAAAUCUCUCAGUACUUUCACAACAUAGCUCUGAUCACACUAAUCACCCUAGCCACAGGCAUAGCUAUAAGCAGGGCUCCCAAGUGGUGGGCUCCUGGCAGGACCUUGUCACAGUGCCUAGUACACUUGUGGUGCUCAGGCAAUGUUCUCAUUUUUAUAUCUUUGUGAAGUAGGGUUGCAUAUUAGUUCAGAGCAUAACUCUGCAGCCUGAGUUCAAAUCCAGACUGCCAUUUACUGGCCGGGCAACCUCAGC